GUGAAUGGCAGAAUUCAGUGAAUCAUCGAAUCUUUGAACGCACCUUGCCGCUCCUWGGUAUUCCGAGGAGCAUGCCUGUUUGAGUGUCCUCAAUAUAUAUCAUCCUCUCUUGUCUUGAGUGGUCUUGGAUCGUGGGGGUUAUGCUGGGCCUUGUUACAGGGUUCAGCUCUCCUGAAWUGCAUKACCRGAACAACCYUGUCCAUUGGUGUGAUAACUAUCWACGCUAUUGAAUGUSAGGGAAGUUCACGCUCUUCUAAACAGUCCUUUGAAGGACAUGCUUAGUCAUUCUAUGUGAUCCUCGUAAUGCGAGUGUACGGAACUACCCGCUGAACUUUAAGCAUAUCGAURAACGGAG
This 355-nucleotide unclassified non-coding RNA is filed under the name uncultured fungus. RNAcentral's name for it is "partial contains 5.8S rRNA, ITS2, and 26S rRNA". The stretch from base 1 to 89 matches the Rfam family "5.8S ribosomal RNA", at positions 67 to 154 of the family's 154-position model. The record is from RNAcentral. Lineage: Eukaryota; Fungi.